Molecule: long non-coding RNA, 476 nt
Filed under: Olea europaea subsp. europaea
Lineage: Eukaryota; Viridiplantae; Streptophyta; Magnoliopsida; Lamiales; Oleaceae
Source: RNAcentral
CUCUCUCUCUCUAUCCAUUCUCACCUCUCACUCUCUGUCUUUUUCUCCGCCACCAACCGAUUUGAGAUCGUCGAAGUGAAACCACACUAAGUCGUCGGAGUGAAGUGGUGUCAAUGUCUACGACCCAUCACCCCUCUCUAAUCAAAUGCAUAGCUCUCCUCCCUCUCCUGUAUCUAUAUCUACCUGCUCUGAUUGUAUCUGUCGAUUGUUGGAAAUCCAAUUCUCACACCCUCUCUCUCCACCGCCAACUGAUCUGAGAGUUUCGGAGUGAAACCACUCGAAGCGGUGGAAGUUAAGGGAUGUCGCUGUCGCGAUCCCGUCACCCCUCUCUAAUCCAACGACGUCGCUUUCCUUCCUCUCAUCUCCUCUUCUCUAUUGUAUCUAUUUUUGGAUUUGAUUUGUUGGUUUUUUAGGAGGCAACUUUCUUGGAUCUUGUUUCUAUUUCGAAUACUAAUUUGUUGGUUUUUUAGGAGGCA